This is a long non-coding RNA of Rhinichthys klamathensis goyatoka, 323 nucleotides long. RefSeq lists it as uncharacterized. The transcript is spliced from 2 exons. NCBI's taxonomy places the organism in Eukaryota, Metazoa, Chordata, Actinopteri, Cypriniformes, Leuciscidae. The record is from RefSeq and is a predicted model, not a curated record.
UCUUAUAAUAAUUGUUUGCAGAUUAAUAUUUUACCAUUCUUUGUGUCCUGAAGUAAAUGUCCCUUUUUCUGUUUCAGUUCUAAGAAAAGCAGUGGGCCUAUUAAACAAUGCUUAGAGAGCAUUUGUGUGUGAUUUGAGUUGGACCGAAAUCUGAAAACUUAAAGAGAAUGACCUGUUUAUUUGGCUCAAAUUCAUUAAAACAACUAUUUCAAAAGCUGAAGGGAUUUUCUUUUUUAUAUUAUAGUUAGAAUAUGUAUAACUCAAUGUUUUAACUAAUUGAAAAAGCUGAAUAAUCGUUCCAAACUUACUGAUUAGUCGGCGAA